RNAcentral lists this transfer RNA (72 nucleotides) under Rhipicephalus sanguineus (brown dog tick). RNAcentral describes it as "transfer RNA aspartic acid (anticodon GUC)". It matches the Rfam family "tRNA". Rfam says of the family: Transfer RNA (tRNA) molecules are approximately 80 nucleotides in length. Their secondary structure includes four short double-helical elements and three loops (D, anti-codon, and T loops). The record is from Rfam by way of RNAcentral. Lineage: Eukaryota; Metazoa; Arthropoda; Arachnida; Ixodida; Ixodidae.
UCCGGCAUGGUCUAGUGGCUAGGAUACCUGCUCGUCACCCAGGAGGCCCGGGUUCGAUUCCCGGUGUCGGAA